AAGUACAACCAGCUCCUCUUGUGGUUUUCCCUCUUCCACCUAGAUGCCUCUCCUAACCCCAUCAGAGCCUAACAAAUCACAUGAGAAGACUGACUAAAAAGGGAGUUUAUUGCUAAAAUAUGAAAUUAUGACUACAAUCAGAUUGCAUUAUUGGAACACGUCUGGAAACAGCAAACAGUGUCAGGUAGAGGCCCUGGCCAGCAGAAUAUACAUUCCAUUGUUGGCAUGGAUAGCUCACAGAUUGCAAGCAACUACCCAGUGACUCAAAUCUCUGUCAUGGCAGUGAUCUCUCCAGGCCAUCCUAAGGAGAAAAGGAGACAAAAAGAAAUGCACCAAUCAAAUUCUGGUGGGACCACUGAAGAAAGCAAGCCAAGGAUAGAAGUUGGCAUUACGACAGGACAAGUGUCAGGUGACGGAAUCUUCAGCCACAUGCUGAGGCCCACAUCCCAGCAAAGGGCCUAUUUCCUACUCCCAAGGUCUCCUGGCCCCGUUCUCUCUUCUCCUUGUCAUCACUGCCUGUUUUUCUGCUCCCUCUUGUAUGUUUAUGUUUGUGGAGACAAGAGGAAGGAGAAGCAGCAGCCAUCUUCUUUUGGGCAGUGUGCAGGUUGGGCACAGGGACAAGUGAAUUGGCAGCAAUGUCAGUAGUUAGGAGCAAGUAGAUUCAUUCAGGGAGUAGGCCCCACUGUGAGGUCAUCUUGCCUGAGGAGAGGCGUCCCCCUCCACACACACACUUAAAACUUGGAGCCAGCAGCACCUUAGAAGAAACAUGGGGUUGCCAUUUUGCUCCACAUUACUUUCUCCCCUCUUCCUGGGAAUAUGGAUGUAUGGAUCGUUGAUCCCCUGUGCCUUACUUGGACCCACCCUGGUCCCCCCCACUCUCCAGCACCUCAGAAAUGUGGGAAGCCAGGGAGAGGGUUUGCCUGUCUCCUCCUCACCAGGAGACUCAGCACCCACCAGUCUCUCCUGCCCUCCUCCAUCAGUGGUACUCUGCCCCUUAAAUAUCCUGGCACACCCAGGCAACCCCCAAGACCCAUCCUGCUUCCUGCUACUUCCUCAGUCCUGCCUCUUCUUCAGCAUGACACUGCAUUUUGAGCCAACCCCGCCCACACAGCAACCCACCCCGUUACAGGUAGUGUAUGCUGGCCUGGGUGCAGAGGCAGUGAUAUCAGCCCUGGAAAUGGGGUGCAUGUCGCUGGAGUGGUGAGAAGCAUCUCCUCGCAUCCCUCCAUCAGGAUGAGUAUUGGACAAUGGAUACAUUGUACAAGCCGCCUUGGGAUUUUCUUAAUGAAAGGCGGGGUAUAAAUUUAACAAUAAGUAAAAAUAUGCAACCGUAUCAGGCUGUACAUAACUCCUGGCUGAUGGUGGUGAUGAGGAAGUACCUUGUGUGAUGAUAAUGUCAUAUCUCACUUUGUUUUAUACUGCAUUUUACCAAGAAGACGGGAGAAAAGAGACACAUGAGGGAAGAGUUCUGCCCCAAAGUACAGCAGUUUUGAGGACCAUGCAACAGGGGGACAGUUGUCCUGCUGGGAACAAAGUCCCUGAUCAGACGUUCAAGUUGACUGGAUUUACGCAUUUUGGCCCAUAACCACGGUUUUGUGUGUCCGGCCGUUCUGCAGUUACAACCUCGGCUAGCUAUAACUGUGGUUAUCCUGUAUGUCUAAACUCAGCCACUGAGUGUAGAGCUCUGAUUCCUGUGUAUGUUUUGCAGCUCCCUUAAGUUUAUUUUCAGUAAGAAAGUUGCAGUCAAAGCCUUGGCUUCCUUGCACAGCUUUACAGUGAUUGGCUGAGCCCUGCCCAGCAGUGCCUGCUGUGUCCCAGGAAAAUCUAACAAAAAAGGAGGAGGAGUCAGUCUACCUGGACUCAGAAUUUGAAGACUCAACAAACAGUGAUCUGGUACUCUGGGAGUAGGCCACAAAGAACCGGAAGUGCAGGGUAGAUAGUGGGUUUAUGUUUAUGUGUUGUUGUUGUUUGGUGUAUGUGUUGUGGUGUUAAUCUCUCUUUUCUCUUCACUCCUCCUAAAGCCAGGUCCUUAUCACUUUAUCCAAAUAUACCACACUUUUGUUUAGUAACUGCUGGUCUGUGUAUAGUUUGCCUACUUCUAAAACUCCCCAUGGGCUAGCUGUUUGAGGCAUGUGAGUGUAAAGAAUGGGGUAGUUCCAGGGCUAGCUGCCUACCCUAUCAGGAGGGCUGUUACAAUGCUGAUAGAAUUGGUUAGCUAAAGUCAGAGAAAGAGAAUCCCAGGGCAGAGACAUAGCAACGUUGACAAUGGCCCUGGGGUGAGAUUUAGGGCUGCUGCCACCAUCGCCACUCACGCCAUUCACAUGCCACCCAGCCUGCCUCCCUCUGCAGCCAUGACAUCACAUCAUUAGACAAUGGCGUGACUAGCAAAGGGAGGCAGGGCGGCAGCAGGUGGGUGAUCUGACAGCCUUCAGGCGCCAUUAAGGCAGGCAGGCCGAUGCCCAGCGGUGGGUGGCCGCAGUGGGCUGUGGAAGCAGGUGGGCAUGGUGAGAGAGUGGCAAGUGGCCCCCAGAUACCAGUUGCCCAGGGACAUUUGAUCUCCUGCUCCAUUACUCCUACAUGUCUGGCCCAGACCUGGAGGACUGCUGCUUUAGGUGAUUCUAGAUUGCAGCCUCCUGCUCUUUCAGUGUGAUGUGUAUGCUAAGCCAUGGCAAAAUGAUACCUGCAAAAUUCAGGUAAAUGCAGUUGGGUAGAAGAGGGGAUUUCAGCAAGGGCAGCUUUUCUCACCCCUAUGUCUCAAGCUGCCCUUGCCCCCUUUUUAAUGCAACUAUUAGAAGAGCCCCAUCCACUUUUGCAUCUGGUCCUUCUGUAGUCAUACUGGACGGCCUGACCAGGAGCAGUUUCAGUCCUCCUCAUAGCCUGUAAUGUGGAUUGGCAGGGAAGACAAGUGUCCCAAGUGGUGUCUGGCUGACUGCUGUGGGGAGCAGAACUCUGAACCAAAUGGACCGUCUGUCUGAUCCAGCAAGGCUCUACUCCUUAAGUGAAGGCCCAGCAAAAGUUGGGAAUGCCAGUUUGUACAAUAUAGACAUGUCCAGAAUGCCCCUUCAAAACGACUGCCCGGGUACAUCCUUAAGUGACUGCUGAAGAGAGAUUUGAGAUCUUUCUCUCUCUACAGUUCAGCUAUCUGUGUGUCUCAUUUGUCUGUGUGAUUCCGUUCACUUGAUUAAGAUAUCUGCAAAGCCCUCUGUUUGGCCUUAGCUCCCACUCAAGUGGUAAACUUGUGCCUGGAUUUUACCACUUCAGAUUGUAGGUGGGAGUUUUACCUGACCAAAUGCUCCUUCAUGUAAACAUAUCUAAUCAACAACAUCUAGCCUUUUCCCCUUUCAAACUUACUAACAGGAGGAGGGGAGAUUUUGAGGGGCUGGUUUCUCUUUAAGGGAUAAGUCCUAGUCUGUGUAUUAUUUGCCAGGGCUAGCAUUUGCCAGGGCUAGCAAACUCCUGUGUUUUUAUUUGCCCCUCCCUGGAGGGGGUGGUCAGCUAGGGCUGUGGGAGGCCCCACAUUCCUUUGAGACAUAUCCUGUGUCUCAGUUUGAAGCCUACUCUCUACAUAAGAGGUGAAGGCCUGAGAGCAUAGCAAACAGGGAUAGCAAACAGGAUGUUGGAGUUUUUCAGGAGUUUAGUGUGAAGUGUACGGGGGAGCCUGGAACAAGCCCCUCUUAUCACAAGGAGCCCGGUGUAGAAUGGAAGAAGAGGAAACUUCUCCAAAAUGAGGAGUAUGGUGAAAAGAAAGCUGAAAGGCAAAAUCAGGAGAAUCACUUGGCUCCAAAAUGCAUGGAGUUUACUCAAAACCACAAUACUAGGAGCCCCAUUAGAUUGUAUACCCAAAAGGAGGAAAGAUACAACUAAGUCCAGGAGGAUGCCAGCAUGGCUAACAGCAAAGGAUACUGAGCAUAUACCUGGAGGCUAAAGAACUGAGUCAGACAGAAGUGGCAUGAGAUGGUUUUCUAAACUGUCUGGAAAAACUGAAAUCUAGCAAAUCGCCAGGGCCAGACGGCAUCCAUCCAGGAGUCCUCAAAGAACUCAAAUGUGAAAUUGCUGACCUCCUUGCUAAAAUAUAUAACUUAUCCCUGUAAUCAGGCUCUGUACCAGAGGAUAAAAGUAGCAAAUGUAACACCGAUUUUCAAAAAGGGAUCCAGGGGUGAUCCGGGAAAUUACAGGCCAUUUAGCUUAACAUCUGUUCCAGGCAAAUUGAUGGAAAGCAUCCUCAAGGAUAAAAUUGUAAAGCACAUAGAAGAACAGGCCCUGCUGGGAGUGAGCCAGCAUGGCUUCUGCAAAGGUAAAUCUUGCCUUGCCAACCUUUUGGAGUUUUUUGAGAGUGUCAGCAAGUGUGUGGAUCAAGGUGAUCCAGUUGACAUAGUAUACCUGGACUGCCAAAAAACUUUAAACAAAGUUCCUCAUUAAAGACUCCUGAGAAAACUUAGCAGUCAUGGGAUAAGGGGACAAGUACAUGUGUGGAUUGCUAACUGGUUGAAGGACAGGAAACAGAGGGUAGGUAUAAAUGGAGAGUUUUCACAAUGGAGGGAAGUAAGAAGUGGGGUCCCCCAGGGAUCUGUACUGGGACUGGUGCUUUUUAAUUUAUUCAUAAAUGAUCUAGAAGCAGGAGUAAGCAGCGAGGUGGCCAAAUUUGCAGAUGAUACCAAACUCUUUUGGGUAGAAAAAUCCAAAGCGGAUUAUGAGUAGCUCCAAAAGGAUCUCUCCAAACUGGGUGAGUGGGCAACCAAAUGGCAAAUGUGGUUCAAUGUUGGCAAGUGGGACUCUGUUGGUCCUUUUGGAUCUCUCAGUGGCUUUCGAUACUAUCAACCAUAGUAUCCUUCUGGAACAUCUGAGGGAGUUUGGGGUGGGAGGCACUGCUUUGCAGUGGUUCCGCUCCUACCUUUCUGGCAAAUUCCAGAUGGUGUCCCUUGGAGACUAUUGCUCUUCAAAAUCUGAGCUUUUAUAUGGGGUCCCUCAGGGCUCCAUACUGUCUCCAAUGCUUUCUGAUAUGUACAUGAAACCGUUGGGAGAGAUAAUCCAGAGAUUUGGUGCUGGGUGCUAUCAGUAUACUGAUGACACCCAAAUCUAUUUCUCCAUGUCAACUUCAUCAGGAGAAGGCAUAUCCUCCCUGAAUGUCUGUUUGGAAGCAGUAAUAGGCUGGAUGAGGGAUAACAAACUGAGUCUGAAUCCAAACAAGAUGGAGGUACUUAUUGUGCGGGGUCGUCACUCAGGAAGCGAUAUUGAUCUACCUGUUCUAGAUGUGGUCACACUUCCUCAGAAGGAACAGGUAUGCAGUCUGGGAGUGCUUCUGGAUCCACACCUUUCCCUGGUUCCCCAGGUUGAGGCAGUGGCCAGAAGCAAUUUCUAUCAGCUUUGGUUGAUAUGCCAGCUGCGUCCAUUUCUUGAGGUUCAUGGUCUCAGUACACUGGCUGGUAACCUCCAGACUUGAUUACUGCAAUGCGCUCUAUGUGGGGCUGCCUUUGUACGUAGUCCGGAAACUACAGUUAGUACAAAAUGGGGCAGCAGCCAGGUUGGUCUCCGGGUCAUCUCAGAAAGACCAUAAUACUCCUGUAUUAAAUGAGUUGCACUGGCUGCCAAUAAGUUUCCGGGCAAAAUACAAAGUGCUGGUUAUAAGCUAUAAAGCCCUAAACAGCUUACGCCCACAGUACUUAAGAGAGUGUCUUCUUCUGCAUGAUCCCCAUCGUCCACUGCAUACAUCAGGGGAGGCUAGUCUGUGGCUACCUUCAUGUUGCCUGGUGGCCACCCAGGGACAGGCCUUCUCUGUUGUUGCCCCGAGACUUUGAAACGCGCUUCCCGUGGGAAUAAGAGUCUCCCUGUCUCUAGCGGCUUUUAAAAAGUGUUUGAAGACUCAUAUUUUUACCCAGGCUUUUAAACUUUUUAAAUUUUCGAUUGUUUAUUGAUUUGUUUUAAAUUGUUUUUAGAAUUUUAAUUGAUUUUAAUGUUUUGUUUAUUGCUUUGUUGUGAACCACCCUGAGACCUUGGUUUGGAGCGGUAUAUA
Molecule: long non-coding RNA, 6010 nt
Organism: Hemicordylus capensis (graceful crag lizard)
Lineage: Eukaryota; Metazoa; Chordata; Lepidosauria; Squamata; Cordylidae
Exons: 3
Source: RefSeq, a predicted model, not a curated record